UUCCUCGAUCGAGUGGCGAACGGGUGAGUAACGCGUGAGGAACCUGCCUCAAAGAGGGGGACAACAGUUGGAAACGACUGCUAAUACCGCAUAAGCCCACGGGUCGGCAUCGACCAGAGGGAAAAGGAGCAAUCCGCUUUGAGAAGGCCUCGCGUCCGAUUAGCUAGUUGGUGAGGUAACGGCCCACCAAGGCAACGAUCGGUAGCCGGACUGAGAGGUUGAACGGCCACAUUGGGACUGAGACCCGGCCCAGACUCCUACGGGAGGCAGCAGUGGGGAAUAUUGCACAAUGGGGGAAACCCUGAUGCAGCGACGCCGCGUGGAGGAAGAAGGUCUUCGGAUUGUAAACUCCUGUUGUUGAGGAAGAUAAUGACGGUACUCAACAAGGAAGUGACGGCUAACUACGUGCCAGCAGCCGCGGUAAAACGUAGGUCACAAGCGUUGUCCGGAAUUACUGGGUGUAAAGGGAGCGCAGGCGGGAAGACAAGAUGGAAGUGAAAUCCAUGGGCUCAACCCAUGAACUGC
This 525-nucleotide ribosomal RNA is filed under the name uncultured bacterium. RNAcentral describes it as "bacterial SSU rRNA". It matches the Rfam family "Bacterial small subunit ribosomal RNA", at positions 83 to 624 of the family's 1533-position model. The record is from RNAcentral.